Molecule: ribosomal RNA, 329 nt
Filed under: uncultured Bacillota bacterium
Lineage: Bacteria; Bacillati; Bacillota
Description: bacterial SSU rRNA
Rfam family: Bacterial small subunit ribosomal RNA
Source: RNAcentral
GACGAACGCUGGCGGCGUGCCUAAUACAUGCAAGUCGAGCGGAUCUUGGCCUUCGGGCCUUGGUUAGCGGCGGACGGGUGAGUAACACGUAGGCAACCUGCCCUUCAGAUCGGGAUAACAUUCGGAAACGAAUGCUAACACCGGAUAAACACUUUUGCCGCAUGGUGAGAGUGGGAAACACGGCGCAAGCUGUGGCUAAAGGAUGGGCCUGCGGCGCAUUAGCUAGUUGGUGGGGUAAAGGCUCACCAAGGCGACGAUGCGUAGCCGACCUGAGAGGGUGAACGGCCACACUGGGACUGAGACACGGCCCAGACUCCUACGGGAGGCAG